GGGGAUGUGGCUUAGUGGUAGAGCUCUUGCCUAGCAUGUGCAAGACCCUGGGUUUGAUCCCCAGCACUGCCA
RNAcentral lists this transfer RNA (72 nucleotides) under Marmota marmota marmota (Alpine marmot). It matches the Rfam family "tRNA". From Rfam's summary of the family: Transfer RNA (tRNA) molecules are approximately 80 nucleotides in length. The record is from Rfam by way of RNAcentral. Lineage: Eukaryota; Metazoa; Chordata; Mammalia; Rodentia; Sciuridae. RNAcentral also lists the same sequence under 1 other name.